Mytilus californianus (California mussel) is the source of this 2248-nucleotide long non-coding RNA. RefSeq lists it as uncharacterized. The record is from RefSeq and is a predicted model, not a curated record. Lineage: Eukaryota; Metazoa; Mollusca; Bivalvia; Mytilida; Mytilidae. The transcript has 3 exons.
CUUAUUUAAAGAUUUUAGUCACAUGUUAUUCAAGGUUAAAUUGUGUGAUUGAUGUGUCUGGAAUAUAUAUACAGGAAUAUACAUGAUGCAUAAUAAAACGUACGUUGUGCUGUUUGUUGUACUGCUGUUGACCCUUCCGUCUAGUGUAGGAGGUGGACCAAUAUGCUACUAUUCGUGUCUUGCCUCCGUUGGAGCGGCUGCGUUAUUUGGGACAGCAGCCAUACUACCAGUUCUUGGUUUUACAUCUUCUGGAAUAACAGCCGGAUCAUGGGCUGCAACAUGGAUGGCUUCGUUUGGAGGUGCUGUACCUGCCGGUAGUGUGUUUGCUACUUUUCAAUCGGCAGGAAUGACGGGGGCAACUACGAAAUUGGCCGCUGCAGCUACUGGUUCCGCUUCUGCCAUAUGUGUUGCCAUUUGCGCACUUUCCCCAUAAAUAGAGAUCAUUUGUUUAAGUUUAACACACUUUACAAUGUACUUAAUCCAACUUUGUACUUGUUUCGGUCCUAGAAUAAUUUGAUUUGAGUGUCACUGAUGAGUCCUUUGUAGUGUAGACUAAUCGGGUUUAUGGCAUACAGGAUUAAAAGCCUAAUAUCUUUAAUGAUUUUGUAAAUGUUUUCUUGAUCAACAUAUAAACAUGAUUCAGUAUAUUUUUUAUCAAAACUAUUGUAUUAUUAUAGUGCAAGCAUAUGCAAAAUCUUUAGUUCAAAUAUAAAUAAAACAUGUGCAUGUAAAACGUAUUUAUGUUUAAAAUUUAAAUAUACUUAAUCAUCUAAACGUGAAGGGUGAUAUUUGUAAAAUGGCAUAUACAGAUAAAAUCUUUUUUAUGAACGCUCAAUAACUUUUUGCCUGUUAAUCAUAUUUGACUUGUAGUUAAACAAAAACAGGUUAAUUUAAAGAACAACCAUUUACGACAAGUUUUUAAUUAUUUUAUCUUUGUUUCUAACACACGUCAGUAUGAAUAUAUUUUGAACAAUUAAGCAUUGUUAACAUGGCAUUAUAAUGACUUUUUCGUCGUUAUUAAAGGUAUUUCUUACAAUGAUUUCACAAAGCUAUUAAAAUACAUUAAGUAUAAAAGACAACUGACUAAAGCAAUAACGUCUACAUGCGUACAGAAAUAUUAUAAGGAAAAGUUUAUGAAGCAGUGCAUGUUUUGCAUCUUUUGUUUACACAUUAUAGUGCAUUAGCAUUAAUUGCGCAUACACAUUUAACUGUUUAGUAAAUCACUUCCGUGAAAAUAAGGUAAGGUUUAAAUAUAUUCACACGAGUACUGUUACGAAUUAGUAAUCGUAUGAUUAAAUUAAUUGAUCUGGUAUUGUCCGUAAUUUUUUUCUAGUAAUUUUAUGAAUCAGAUGUUUUAUUUACUCUUUUAUAUCACUGUUUCGAUGAUGGAAUUUCUCCUCGUACAGAAUAUUCACGGUUGGUUAGCAGAUACGCAUAUGAUAAAUGAUGUAAGAAUGUGUUUAUCUUUUAACUUAUUUAUUUUCUUAGUUUCUCUAAGAAGACGCCACGCUUGUUGGCGAAACAUGUCGACCAGAAUAAACUCUAACCAUGCGGAAAUUGAUGGAUGUGGUUGUCUUUAGUAUCGUUUUAUUUCCUUAAUGUAAUACAUUUUGUGUUAUCCGUAAUCAUCUAAAUCUCAACAGUGCCAUAGUUUAUUUACUCGAGCAGCCAUUUUAAUUGUGUAUUAGCGGUUUAUUACACAAGAUUGCUUGUUUACAUAACAAACGUUUUGAUUGGCUGGUCUACUGACCCCAAAACUAUAAAUAGAAGGUUGACAAAACUAACUUAGAUAUGAUCGCAUCGUCUACAAGAGCAGCCAAAAAAAGCUUGUCGUUAUAUUUAGUCAACCUUGUGAAAAUGUCCCAGCCACAGACAACCUUAAGUCUGGUACGCAGCUUUUAAAUGUUUUAAGAAAACUAAACUUUCUACGUUAGAGUUACACAUUGCUAUUGUUUGUUUUGCAGAAGUCAACAUGCAACCUUCAACCGUCGUUCCACUUAGUCAACCUUCUAUUGUUACGAUAAUAUGAGAGAGGUUUUCUGGAAAUCUACUUUCAAUUUAACAGAAAGAAAUAAGAUAAAUGAAUAUUUUAUUGAAUCUAUCAUUAUAAUUAUAUUAUAUUAUCAGUAUAUUCUAAAAAUGCCCAUGUGCUUAUUCAAUUAUUUGUUUAAUCUCUGAUUGUCAAUAAAGAACCUCUUUUUUGUUAAAGGCAAUUUAUGUUGCCCAUUAAAUGUUUUGUAUUUUGUUA